Molecule: ribosomal RNA, 400 nt
Filed under: phytoplankton environmental sample
Lineage: Eukaryota
Description: partial small subunit ribosomal RNA
Rfam family: Eukaryotic small subunit ribosomal RNA
Source: RNAcentral
AGCUCCACGAGUCGUGCGCAAAAAUUGUUGCGGUUGCAAAGCUCGUAGUCGGAUUUCUGCAAAAAUUUGACGGCCUGCUUGCUUCUAUGCAUGUGGGAUCAGUUUACAAUUUUUGCAUCCUCUCACAAACUGCUCUGGCCUUCGUUGGUUGGAGUCUCAGGGCGUGGGACUUUUACUUUGAGAAAAACAGAGUGUUCAAAGCAGGCAAUUGCAAUUUGAAUGAGUUAGCAUGGGAUAAUGAGAUAGGACUCUUGUUCUAUUUUGUUGGUUGUUCGAGAUCAAGAGUAAUGAUUGAUGGGGAUGGGUGGGGGCAUCGGUAUUCUAGAGCGAGUGGUGAAAUACUUAGACCUCUGGAAGACCAACUACUGCGAAAGCAUUUGCCAAGAACAUACCUUUCGAU